UACGAAGGUCCCGAGCGUUGUUCGGAAUCACUGGGCGGAAAGGGAGCGUAGGCGGCGUGGCCAGUCAGACGUGAAAUCCCGGGGCUCAACCCCGGAACUGCGUCCGAUACUGCCAUGCUCGAGCAUUGGAGAGGGAGGUGGAAUUCUUGGUGUAGCAGUGAAAUGCGUGGAUAUCAAGAGGAACACUCGUGGCGAAAGCGAGCUGGUGGACAAUUGCUGACGCUGAGGCUCGAAGGCCGGGGGAGCGAAAGGG
RNAcentral lists this ribosomal RNA (253 nucleotides) under uncultured bacterium. RNAcentral describes it as "partial 16S ribosomal RNA". It matches the Rfam family "Bacterial small subunit ribosomal RNA", at positions 524 to 776 of the family's 1533-position model. The record is from RNAcentral.